This 497-nucleotide ribosomal RNA is filed under the name uncultured bacterium. RNAcentral describes it as "partial 16S ribosomal RNA". It matches the Rfam family "Bacterial small subunit ribosomal RNA", at positions 28 to 507 of the family's 1533-position model. The record is from RNAcentral.
GAUGAACGCUGGCGGCGUGCCUAAUACAUGCAAGUCGAGCGAACAGACGAGGAGCUUGCUCCUCUGACGUUAGCGGCGGACGGGUGAGUAACACGUGGAUAACCUACCUAUAAGACUGGGAUAAAUUCGGGAAACCGGAGCUAAUACCGGAUAAUAUAUUGAACCGCAUGGUUCAAUAGUGAAAGACGGUUUUGCUGUCACUUAUAGAUGGAUCCGCGCCGCAUUAGCUAGUUGGUAAGGUAACGGCUUACCAAGGCAACGAUGCGUAGCCGACCUGAGAGGGUGAUCGGCCACACUGGAACUGAGACACGGUCCAGACUCCUACGGGAGGCAGCAGUAGGGAAUCUUCCGCAAUGGGCGAAAGCCUGACGGAGCAACGCCGCGUGAGUGAUGAAGGUCUUCGGAUCGUAAAACUCUGUUAUUAGGGAAGAACAAAUGUGUAAGUAACUAUGCACGUCUUGACGGUACCUAAUCAGAAAGCCACGGCUAACUACGUG